RNAcentral lists this ribosomal RNA (439 nucleotides) under uncultured bacterium. RNAcentral's name for it is "partial 16S ribosomal RNA". It matches the Rfam family "Bacterial small subunit ribosomal RNA", at positions 339 to 795 of the family's 1533-position model. The record is from RNAcentral.
CUACGGGUUGCACCAGUGAGGAAUAUUGCACAAUGGGGGGAACCCUGAUGCAGCAACGCCGCGUGGAGGAUGACGCAUUUCGGUGUGUAAACCCCUUUUAUAUGUCAAGAAAAUGACGGUAGCAUAUGAAUAAGCACCGGCUAACUCCGUGCCAGCAGCCGCGGUAAUACGGAGGGUGCAAGCGUUACUCGGAAUCACUGGGCGUAAAGGACGCGUAGGCGGGUUGGAAAGUCAGGUGUGAAAUCUUACAGCUUAACUGUAGAACUGCACUUGAAACUUCUAAUCUAGAGUAUGGGAGGGGGAGAUGGAAUUAGUGGUGUAGGGGUAAAAUCCGUAGAUAUCACUAGGAAUACCUAAAGCGAAGGCGAUCUCCUGGAACAUUACUGACGCUAAGGCGUGAAAGCGUGGGGAGCAAACAGGAUUAGAUACCCCAGUAGUC